Long non-coding RNA from Harpia harpyja (harpy eagle), 2210 nucleotides. RefSeq lists it as uncharacterized. The transcript has 2 exons. NCBI's taxonomy places the organism in Eukaryota, Metazoa, Chordata, Aves, Accipitriformes, Accipitridae. The record is from RefSeq and is a predicted model, not a curated record.
AAGAGCCGUUGAUGUAAUCACGCCAGAAUGCGUCGAGGUAGGUGAGCUCUGAGAAUUUUAUGUCACAGAUGAUGGAGCCCAGGUCCCGGGACUUCAGGAUGGUGUUGGCCUGGUUGAAGCGCUCAAACUGACGCUCCAAGGGGUCCUGCUUGUUGGAGAAGACAUUGCCUUGAAGCGCCGUCUCAUGCUGGCAGUACUCAGCUCGGACCCGCAGGCGGAUAUCUGAAGGAAGCGGGGAGGGCGGGUCCGGCGUUGCCGACUUCCUCCUCUUGCGCUGGCUGCUGAGGAGGGUCCUGCCACGGCCAGGCCUCUUGGUACAGAUCUGGGGUCCCGCAGAGGAGCAGCAGACCACGGGGUGGUGGGGAGGCACUGCGCAGGGAGAGGAUGGGGGUUAGGGGACACUGAACCCCCCUGCUCCCUGCCUGGGGACAUCUUGGAGGAGCUGCUCCCCCUCCCAGGCCCUGCUGAAGCUCUCAGGGCCACUUGCCCUUGCUGGUUGCACUCCAAAUCUGUGUUGGAGCGCUUCUGCUCCAUCUCCGACACCAAGCUCCAGCCCUCCCCUCCUUCCCACGCUGCUGUCACCUCCCAGUUGUCCCACCACCAUCCCAGGACGCUCGUCCCAAGGGGUGUCUGGCAGCCCCAGGAGCCUGUGCAAGCCCCCAGAGGGGAACCCCAGAUUACACCAAGAUUGAAUGGCUUCCCUGCAGUUAUGGGAAGGGAUGUCACACUCCGUGCUCGAUUGUCCCCCAAACUGUGGGGGCUUGUGGCAGCAGGGUCAGAUGUCACUUCAGCAAUGACAGAACAGUUACCACCAGUCAAAGGCAAGUCCCCGCACUCCCAGUGGGAGCAGACAAGGCAAAAGCGGGACGGUCCCAAUGAAUUCCCACAGACUGAACCCCCGAAUCCCCACAGACCAAACCCCGAGGUCUGGCAGUGGGCAUCUGCACCCACCUGAUUUAUGGGGGUGGCCGAGCCCAUGCUCUGCCUCGCUGUGAGCUCGGGGCGUCACGUAGCGAAUGGAUGUCUCCUCCAGGUACUUGUCCACCAGGUCCGGACACACUGGAAGAGAAAGGGGACACAGGUCCCUUCAGGAGGGACAGAGGGGACACAGGGAGGCCAGGGCAGGUCUUUCCCGAUGCGGCGGGUGUCAACACGUGCUUAAGCUGCUCUGCAUCCCCCCGAGCAUGGCUGCACAUCAACCAGCUGUUUCUCCAGCCAGUCCUCUCAAAAAAACUCCAUUUGGGAGCCAAGCCUUCCCAACUGCAGCCCAGGAAAGGCCCUUUCCAUUUGUUACCAUAGAUAAUCCCAACACCCAGACUCGGAACAGACCAGCAGCAUCGCACACACACAAUCCCCCGGGAGAAAUUCCAGCCAAGGCGGGCAGUGCCUCUGACACUGUGCCAGUGCCGUACCAGGUCGUACAUACCUGGCGAUCGCUCAGACCAGCCCCGCAUUCAUCCCGUGAUCCCUACUCGAGCUCCUGUGGCUCGUGUCAGUCUGAGCAAAGGUCUGGGGGAGCAGCCACUGCUCCUCCUCCUCCAUAGCCCCGGCAGAGUGGAGCCACAGGGGGACAGCGGCAGCUCCAGGCUCCCAGGAUGGACCCAGCUGCUUGAAACACUUCAGGAUAAACUGGCAUACACUCAAAAAUGUUAAGCCUACAUUAUUUACCUGACUUUAGCAGAUCAAACCUUUGAAGUAACACACUGGCAAGACACGGGGUUUUGAGGAGAGUCAAGCUGCUGAGCAGAAGCAGCUGCUGAGCAAAGAUUAUGGGGUAAAAUGAGUUAUUUUUGAGGGCCUGGACAUUUUCUGCGGGUUGUUUUUGUCCUGUUUGAUGAACUCAGAGCACUGCCCAUCCCCGCACAGAAUCCCUCCCAUCCCUGCCAGACCGAAGCCGGCCAAGGCUGCUGGUCUCCCUGGCCCCCCCGCCACUCUCCACCUUCGCCCAGCUGGCUCUGGCUGCGCCGAGCUAAUUCAGGACAGGGUUUUGCUCCUUUUCAGAGCCAUGAAUAAUGAUGAGGCAGAAGGAGACAAGACCUCCUGGCUGCUGCAGGGUCUGGAAGGACACGGGAACCAGAAACGAGCAUUAGCUCAUUAAGUCCAGAGGAGACUUCCUUUAACCAAUCAAUCCCUCCUCUUUAUAUGCAAAGCACUGCGCAUUAUAAACCACAUGUAAGGUGCCUUUCUUAAUAAAGCUUUUUGGAAUGCUA